Molecule: transfer RNA, 79 nt
Filed under: Megalops atlanticus (tarpon)
Lineage: Eukaryota; Metazoa; Chordata; Actinopteri; Elopiformes; Megalopidae
Description: tRNA-OTHER
Source: RNAcentral
GGCAGUGUAGCAUAGUGGUUAAGGAGCAGGACUCGUAAUCGAAAGGUUUCUGGUUCGAUUCCCCACCGGGGCGCUGCUG